Molecule: transfer RNA, 73 nt
Filed under: Ovis aries (sheep)
Lineage: Eukaryota; Metazoa; Chordata; Mammalia; Artiodactyla; Bovidae
Description: tRNA-Ala (TGC) (tRNA-Ala-TGC-15-1)
Rfam family: tRNA
About the family: Transfer RNA (tRNA) molecules are approximately 80 nucleotides in length. Their secondary structure includes four short double-helical elements and three loops (D, anti-codon, and T loops). Further hydrogen bonds mediate the characteristic L-shaped molecular structure. tRNAs have two regions of fundamental functional importance: the anti-codon, which is responsible for specific mRNA codon recognition, and the 3' end, to which the tRNAs corresponding amino acid is attached (by aminoacyl-tRNA synthetases). tRNAs cope with the degeneracy of the genetic code in two manners: having more than one tRNA (with a specific anti-codon) for a particular amino acid; and 'wobble' base-pairing, i.e. permitting non-standard base-pairing at the 3rd anti-codon position.
Source: Rfam by way of RNAcentral
UCCCUGGUGGUCCAAUGGCUAAGACUCUACACUUGCAAUGCAGGGGACCCAGGUUCAAUCCCUGACCAGGGAA